UUAACAACAAGGUUACAUACUUGGUUUAGUAGUUUUGGGGGGAAUUAGGGGUUGAACCUUAAAUGCUUUACCGGCAUCAACUCGCUGCUAGAUUUUGGUUAGGACUGGUUCGCGAGCGAGGCCUUACCUCCAAAUUAGCCUGGUUAAUCCCCACUUUAUACCGUCAGUGCAAAGCAUGCCAUUUCGUCACGAUUACCCAAUGAACCAAUGAGAGGGUUUGCCCUUGGA
Molecule: non-coding RNA, 228 nt
Organism: Schizosaccharomyces pombe (fission yeast)
Lineage: Eukaryota; Fungi; Ascomycota; Schizosaccharomycetes; Schizosaccharomycetales; Schizosaccharomycetaceae
Source: the annotation of a GenBank genome assembly